CUUGCCGUAAACUAUGUAUACUUGGUGUAACUGGACUCAACCCUAGUUGUGCCGUAGCUAACGCGUUAAGUAUACCGCCUGGGGAGUACACUCGCAAGGGUGAAACUCAAAAGAAUUGACGGGGACCCGCACAAGCAGUGGAGCAUGUGGUUUAAUUCGAUGCAACGCGAAGAACCUUACCCAGACUUGACAUGCAGAUGACAGUCCUAGAAAUAGGAUCUUCCCUCGGGACAUCUGCACAGGUGC
RNAcentral lists this ribosomal RNA (246 nucleotides) under uncultured Parachlamydiaceae bacterium. RNAcentral describes it as "partial 16S ribosomal RNA". It matches the Rfam family "Bacterial small subunit ribosomal RNA", at positions 796 to 1041 of the family's 1533-position model. Lineage: Bacteria; Pseudomonadati; Chlamydiota; Chlamydiia; Parachlamydiales; Parachlamydiaceae. The record is from RNAcentral.